This 513-nucleotide ribosomal RNA is filed under the name Stipitochalara piceae-abietis. RNAcentral describes it as "eukaryotic LSU rRNA". It matches the Rfam family "Eukaryotic large subunit ribosomal RNA", at positions 85 to 600 of the family's 3401-position model. The record is from RNAcentral. Lineage: Eukaryota; Fungi; Ascomycota; Leotiomycetes; Helotiales; Hamatocanthoscyphaceae.
AACGGCGAGUGAAGCGGCAACAGCUCAAAUUUGAAAUCUGGCUCUUUCAGGGUCCGAGUUGUAAUUUGUAGAAGAUGCUUCGGGGGUGGGUCCGGUCUAAGUUCCUUGGAACAGGACGUCAUAGAGGGUGAGAAUCCCGUAUGUGACUGGUUGCCUUCGCCCAUGUGAAGCUCUUUUGACGAGUCGAGUUGUUUGGGAAUGCAGCUCAAAAUGGGUGGUAAAUUUCAUCUAAAGCUAAAUAUUGGCCAGAGACCGAUAGCGCACAAGUAGAGUGAUCGAAAGAUGAAAAGCACUUUGGAAAGAGAGUUAAACAGUACGUGAAAUUGUUGAAAGGGAAGCGCUUGCAACCAGACUUGCGCGUGGUUGAUCAUCCGGGGUUCUCCCCGGUGCACUCGAUCACGCUCAGGCCAGCAUCGGUUUGGGUGGUUGGAUAAAGGCCUUGGGAAUGUGGCUUCCUUCGGGGAGUGUUAUAGCCCUCGGUGCAAUGCAGCCUACCCGGACCGAGGACCGCGC